This 131-nucleotide small RNA is filed under the name Porticoccus sp. RNAcentral's name for it is "RtT sRNA". It matches the Rfam family "RtT RNA". From Rfam's summary of the family: This family represents a bacterial cis-regulatory element known as RtT RNA. The exact function of RtT is unknown although it is thought that it may be involved in changing the cellular response in relation to amino acid starvation. The record is from RNAcentral. Lineage: Bacteria; Pseudomonadati; Pseudomonadota; Gammaproteobacteria; Cellvibrionales; Porticoccaceae.
UAUUUGUGGUUAGGGUGACUUGGAUGAGAACCCCCGUUCGAGCCGGGCGCCAUAGGCGUGAGACAGCGCCGUCAAAGAUGGCGACCCGAAGGGCGAAGGCCGUGGCCUGAGUAAUCCCUCCCUCACCGCCA